GCGGCGGCGGCGGCGGCGGCGGUACUGAUGAUGCCACUUGCCUGGCAUGAAGAGGAGGUGGUGGAGGUGGAGGAGGUGCAGAUUUAGAUGCUGAAUUUACCUUCAAAAGUGGCAUUGGAGGAGGAGGUGGCGGUGGAGGGGUUACAGGAGAUCGAGCUCUAAUAGGUGCAGGAGAAGGGGGAGGUGGAGGUAUAGGUGUGGCUGGAGUUGUGGCCCUCAAAUUUUCCACCAAAGAUGGAGAUGCUUCCAGAUGUAUGCCACUCACUUUUGUAGGUGGUGUUGGAGGAGGUCGAGGGGCAGGAGGGAUGGCUCUAAUAGAUGGAGGAGGGGGAGGGGG
RNAcentral lists this long non-coding RNA (337 nucleotides) under Gossypium raimondii (Peruvian cotton). RNAcentral describes it as "long non-coding RNA (GRAI_LNC008203)". Lineage: Eukaryota; Viridiplantae; Streptophyta; Magnoliopsida; Malvales; Malvaceae. The record is from RNAcentral.